RNAcentral lists this ribosomal RNA (253 nucleotides) under uncultured bacterium. RNAcentral describes it as "partial 16S ribosomal RNA". It matches the Rfam family "Bacterial small subunit ribosomal RNA", at positions 524 to 776 of the family's 1533-position model. The record is from RNAcentral.
UACGUAGGGUGCAAGCGUUGUCCGGAAUUAUUGGGCGUAAAGAGCUCGUAGGCGGCUUGACACGUCGGCUGUGAAAACCUGGGGCUCAACCCCGGGCCUGCAGCCGAUACGGGCAAGCUAGAAUUCGGUAGGGGAGACUGGAAUUCCUGGUGUAGCGGUGAAAUGCGCAGAUAUCAGGAGGAACACCGGUGGCGAAGGCGGGUCUCUGGGCCGAUAUUGACGCUGAGGAGCGAAAGCGUGGGGAGCGAACAGG